ACGGGUGAGUAAUAUAUCGGAACGUACCUUUGAGUGGGGGAUAACUAGUCGAAAGAUUAGCUAAUACCGCAUACGAUCUACGGAUGAAAGCGGGGGAUCGCAAGACCUCGUGCUCAUAGAGCGGCCGAUAUCUGAUUAGCUAGUUGGUGAGGUAAAGGCUCACCAAGGCAUCGAUCAGUAGCUGGUCUGAGAGGACGACCAGCCACACUGGGACUGAGACACGGCCCAGACUCCUACGGGAGGCAGCAGUGGGGAAUUUUGGACAAUGGGGGCAACCCUGAUCCAGCAAUGCCGCGUGAGUGAAGAAGGCCUUCGGGUUGUAAAGCUCUUUUGUCAGGGAAGAAACGGGAUGUCCUAAUACGGUGUCCUAAUGACGGUACCUGAAGAAUAAGCACCGGCUAACUACGUGCCAGCAGCCGCGGUAAUACGUAGGGUGCAAGCGUUAAUCGGAAUUACUGGGCGUAAAGCGUGCGCAGGCGGUUAUGUAAGACAGGUGUGAAAUCCCCGGGCUUAACCUGGGAAUGGCAUUUGUGACUGCAUGGCUAGAGUGUGUCAGAGGGGGGUAGAAUUCCACGUGUAGCA
RNAcentral lists this ribosomal RNA (582 nucleotides) under uncultured Collimonas sp. Its description in RNAcentral is "bacterial SSU rRNA". It matches the Rfam family "Bacterial small subunit ribosomal RNA", at positions 102 to 680 of the family's 1533-position model. Lineage: Bacteria; Pseudomonadati; Pseudomonadota; Betaproteobacteria; Burkholderiales; Oxalobacteraceae. The record is from RNAcentral.